GACGAACGCUGGCGGCGUGCUUAACACAUGCAAGUCGAACGGAAAGGCCCUUCGGGGUACUCGAGUGGCGAACGGGUGAGUAACACGUGGGUGAUCUGCCCUGCACUUUGGGAUAAGCCUGGGAAACUGGGUCUAAUACCGAAUAGGACCACGCGCUUCAUGGUGUGUGGUGGAAAGCUUUUGCGGUGUGGGAUGGGCCCGCGGCCUAUCAGCUUGUUGGUGGGGUAAUGGCCUACCAAGGCGACGACGGGUAGCCGGCCUGAGAGGGUGACCGGCCACACUGGGACUGAGAUACGGCCCAGACUCCUACGGGAGGCAGCAGUGGGGAAUAUUGCACAAUGGGCGCAAGCCUGAUGCAGCGAUGCCGCGUGAGGGAUGACGGCCUUCGGGUUGUAAACCUCUUUCACCAGGGACGAAGCGUAAGUGACGGUACCUGGAGAAGAAGCACCGGCCAACUACGUG
Molecule: ribosomal RNA, 462 nt
Filed under: uncultured bacterium
Lineage: Bacteria
Description: partial 16S ribosomal RNA
Rfam family: Bacterial small subunit ribosomal RNA
Source: RNAcentral